AUUCCAUACAAAUUCUAUAUACAAUUGCAAAAUUGCGAGUUAGAACUACGGAGUACAUGCGUAUAAGAUCCAAAGUUGUUUAACUACUUAGAUAAAAACUAUAGUGAUAUUAGCUACACCAAGCCUGACUGAGGAGCGGCAAGCCUGUGCAAAGGCAACUAACUCCCCAUAAUGUGAUAUCAGAGCUGUUUAAUCACCUUGAAUUUUCAGAGGGAAAAAAAAAAAAAAAUUGAAAAAGGAAAGAUAGCCUGCAUCAACAACAAUAGAGGCUACGUACAACCCACACAAAGAAAUGGGGACAGUCAGCAUUUCUCCCGUACAAAUAGUUACCACGCCUUUCCUUUCUGUUCUCUCAAAACUGAGGUCCUCUCCCCUCCUACCCCGGAGC
Molecule: small RNA, 388 nt
Filed under: Histoplasma ohiense
Lineage: Eukaryota; Fungi; Ascomycota; Eurotiomycetes; Onygenales; Ajellomycetaceae
Description: hypothetical lncRNA
Source: RNAcentral